GCCUGGGUGGCUCAGUGGUUGAGCAUCUGCCUUCAGCUCAGGUCAUGAUCCCAGGGUCCUGGGAUCAAGUCCCACAUCAGGCU
Molecule: transfer RNA, 83 nt
Filed under: Canis lupus familiaris (dog)
Lineage: Eukaryota; Metazoa; Chordata; Mammalia; Carnivora; Canidae
Rfam family: tRNA
About the family: Transfer RNA (tRNA) molecules are approximately 80 nucleotides in length.
Source: Rfam by way of RNAcentral